This 439-nucleotide ribosomal RNA is filed under the name Bacilli bacterium. RNAcentral's name for it is "bacterial LSU rRNA". It matches the Rfam family "Bacterial large subunit ribosomal RNA", at positions 1319 to 1759 of the family's 2925-position model. Lineage: Bacteria; Bacillati; Bacillota; Bacilli. The record is from RNAcentral.
GAGUGAGAAUCUCUUUCACCGAAUGCCUAAGGUUUCCUGAGGAAGGCUCGUCCUCUCAGGGUUAGUCGGGACCUAAGCCGAGGCCGAAAGGCGUAGGCGAUGGACAACAGGCAGAUAUUCCUGUACCACCUCAUGACCGUUUGAGCGAUGGGGGGACGCAGUAGGAUAAGGAAUGCGCACGGAUGGAUGUGUGCGCCCAAGCAGUGAGAAAGUCAGGUAGGCAAAUCCGCCUGGCCAUUUCAAGCUGUGAUGGGGAGGCCUUCUGGCCGAAGUUCCUGAUUUCACACUGCCGAGAAAAGCCUCUAGCAAGGUCACAGGUGCCCGUACCGCAAACCGACACAGGUAGGCGAGGAGAGAAUCCUAAGGUGAGCGGGAGAACUCUCGUUAAGGAACUCGGCAAAAUGACCCCGUAACUUAGGGAGAAGGGGUGCUCUACGGA